UUAGAUCCUCAGUAGAUCUUCUCUCUUUCUCCCUAGCCAGGUUGAGUUAUUCAGAGCAAGAUGAUUUAUCCCCAUCAUUUUUCUCCAGUUGAUUGUUUCCAUCUUGUUGAGAUUAGUCGAGUGUUGCAGCGAUGAUUCAAAUCUGUGAGAUUCGUAUCCUUUGUGAUUUGUUUUGUCAGCCUAAUCAUCAAUCAUAUACAUACAUAUUCAUACAUCAGAUGUUUCAUUAUACACUUUU
Molecule: long non-coding RNA, 238 nt
Filed under: Lathyrus oleraceus (garden pea)
Lineage: Eukaryota; Viridiplantae; Streptophyta; Magnoliopsida; Fabales; Fabaceae
Description: Pisum sativum (pea) long non-coding RNA (PSAT_LNC002489)
Source: RNAcentral